This is a long non-coding RNA of Apis cerana (Asiatic honeybee), 1501 nucleotides long. RefSeq lists it as uncharacterized. Lineage: Eukaryota; Metazoa; Arthropoda; Insecta; Hymenoptera; Apidae. The record is from RefSeq and is a predicted model, not a curated record.
GAGGAUUGCGCUUUCCCGCUCGGAUUGCGGUCCACGAUAUUGGGAGUAUAAAUAAAUAAAGCGCGAGGAGAGCGAAAAAGAUAUCGAGAUUCGUAGCUCCAAGGGAUUACCGAUCCAUCCCGCCCUUUUCUCUUGCUCUUAUUUUUAAUCUUAUUUACCGUCCCGUUCGGACGGUAAGCGUAAACUCGAUACGUUAUUGGCUGGCAUCUUAUCGAUGUCUUUACGACCUCUUCUCGACCGGUUCCCCUUACCGUAAAUAAACAGAGAAAAAUCGUUGGGAAACCGUCCUCUUCCCUCCCCUUCCAUCUUUGAAUCCGAUUCGGACGAUCGCUAGUGGAUUUAUCCCGCGAUCAACGCGUUCCAACACGCUCCGUUAUUUUGCGCCAUUCUUCGAAACGGAAACGGAAGUCUCGAAGGACGCCUGGUACAGUUGCGGUAGAAGAGAGCAAUUCUGAUUCGACAAUUGGAGAUUACGUUUAUAAAUCGAAAUAUCGUUAUUUUUGUAUUAAAUCGACGCGUUUCUUUCACUCCAAAUUUUCAGCAGCGACUCGAAAUUUGAUACGUGACUCGGUGGUGAGGUCUUAUCGAGCCUCGAUAAAGGAAUAAGGAAACUGUUUACAAUAUCGUUAUUAAGAAUCAGAGGUAAGGAAGUCUUAAUCGAAAUAUCGUUAUUUUUGUAUUAAAUCGACGCGUUCUUUUCACUCCAAAUUUUCAGCAGCGACUCGAAAUUUGACUCGAUGGUAAGGUCUUACGAGUCUCGGUAAAGAAAUAAGGAAACUGUUUACAAUAUCGUUAUUAAGAAUCGGAGGUAAGGAAGUCUUAAUCGAAAUAUCGUUAUUUUUGUAUUAAAUCGACGCGUUUCUUUCACUCCAAAUUUUCAGCAGCGACUCGAAAUUUGACUCGGUGGUAAGGUCUUACGAGCCUCGGUGAAGAAAUAAGGAAACUGUUUACAAUAUUGUUAUUAAGAAUCGGAGCAGCGACUCGAAAUUUGAUACGUGACUCGGUGGUGAGGUCUUAUCGAGCCUCGAUAAAGGAAUAAGGAUCGAACGAAGGAGACUAUUCACAAAUUGAUACCGGCCCCUUAUUAAGAAUCGGAGUGGCGUGGGACGAAUCGAUGGGAUCGAUGGGAAAGAAAAACGAGACGCGUGGAAGGAGCGGGAAGAAGAAUCCCUUUGAAAACGAUACCGUUCGACGACGUUGCACCACGUCCAAGUGCCUCUUACCUGCACUCGAGGAGCGCACUCUUGCCCCUAAGGGAGUAUGCCGGGACGUUUAUGCCGAGCAGCUUCAACCCCGUCACUGUAACAAAAAGAGGAAACAAAUUUUUCUUUCUUCUCUCCCCUCUUCUUUUUUUUCUUUUCUCAAACGUUCGAAAGCAAAAAAAAAAAAACGCUGCGCACGAACGAACUCCAAACCAAACCAAACCGGGCAUCUUUGCGCUCUCGGCGAGGAGGAGGAGGGAGGAGCCUCUCUUUCCACCGAAAUCCCACUGCCAAACGCU